UACGUAGGCAGCGAGCGUUGUUCGGAGUUACUGGGCGUAAAGGGUGUGUAGGCGGUUGUUUAAGUUUGGUGUGAAAUCUCCCGGCUCAACUGGGAGGGUGCGCCGAAUACUGAAUGACUUGGAGUGCGGGGAGAGGUGAGUGGAAUUCCUGGUGUAGCGGUGAAAUGCGUAGAUAUCAGGAGGAACACCGGUGGUGUAGACGGCUCACUGGACCGUAACUGACGCUGAGACACGAAAGCGUGGGUAGCAAACAGG
Molecule: ribosomal RNA, 255 nt
Filed under: uncultured bacterium
Lineage: Bacteria
Description: partial 16S ribosomal RNA
Rfam family: Bacterial small subunit ribosomal RNA
Source: RNAcentral